This 1019-nucleotide long non-coding RNA is filed under the name Cairina moschata (Muscovy duck). RNAcentral describes it as "domestica (muscovy Duck (domestic type)) lncRNA (ENSCMMG00000000255.1)". Lineage: Eukaryota; Metazoa; Chordata; Aves; Anseriformes; Anatidae. The record is from RNAcentral.
CACAGAUUUAAAGAAAAAAUAAAAAAUAAAACAGUUUCAAGUUGCAUUAAGCCACGCUCCCCAAAGGAAAACCCAAACCUUCGUUCAUUCCACAGUGAAACCCCUACACUUAUUUCCACCCCUUUCCCCUACGCGGUGGCAGCUCCUAGCAGGGCACCAAAACUUUUUCCCUCGCCUCUCUUCAGCGCCAGCAUCCUUCCCAGCGCUCUGGCUCCGGAGCACGCCGCUGGGAGGCGGCUGCAGGAGGGAAUAUUGAAUCCUGGAGCCCGAGCCCGUCCUGGCCCUCGGCGGGGGCUGCGGGGGCACUUACCCGGCGUAGCGGCCGCGGUGGGCGCGGAGCGGCAGCGCAGCCUGGAGGCAGAGCAGACAAAGGAGGGGCAGGAGGGCGGCGGGGAGCCGGCGGGGCGGCAUGAUGAGGGGUCGGGAGUGGGACCAGGACCGGGACCGGGACCGGGACAUGCGACCCGGGACCCUGCCCGGGUGGCGGCCACCGCGCACACAAAGCCGGCGCGGAGCGGAGCGGAGGCGGGGGCCGGGGAGGAGCGGAGCGGAGCGGGGGGCGCGGGGGGGAGAAGGCAGCGGGGAGAGGGGGGAGGAUGGCGCCGGGAGGGCUGGGCUGGGGGUGUCCUCCCCAUGUCCUGGGGGUGUCCUCUCCUCGGUCUGGGAGUCCCCUCCCUCGGUCUGGGGGUGCCGCCGCUGCAGGUGCCUCGCCACAGCCCCCUCGGGAGACGGAGGGGGUAGCUGGGUGUGCGGGGUCAUUAAAGACGUUGGCCCUCUAACUUCGUGGAGGAUUGGAUUGGUUUUGCAGAUGGCGAUACUAAGGUAUAUGGGGAGGCUGAAUGAUUUGUCCCAGAUGAAAGAGCAAGUCUUUGGCAACUGUAAAUCUACAAUUUGGGUCUCCUGGCAAUAACUGCUGGAACAUUUGCCAUGAGUAAGUUUGUAUUUUCAAGACUGUAUUUUUAAUCUAAAAGGCAAACAUAGUUCUGUGAGUCCCAAACUUGUCUAAGCAUACUCAGGGU